UCCCCCAGCGUGGUGGCUGCUUCUAUCUCCCC
This 32-nucleotide non-coding RNA is filed under the name Homo sapiens (human). The record is from RNAcentral. Lineage: Eukaryota; Metazoa; Chordata; Mammalia; Primates; Hominidae.